AUAUGUGCAUACUGUGCGUAUUGCCUCGAUAUAGCCUUAAUUCGCAAGCAUGGUAAGAAAAGUUGGA
This 67-nucleotide transfer RNA is filed under the name Schistosoma mansoni. The record is from RNAcentral. Lineage: Eukaryota; Metazoa; Platyhelminthes; Trematoda; Strigeidida; Schistosomatidae.